GAAGGAUGUUUGUGGUUUAUCCCACCAUCCCUCCCUCCAUUCUCUCUCCCCCGCUUCCUGCCCCCCCCCCCAGGAAUUCCGCUGCCCACCGUCUCCCCCACGUCCCUUCCCCGGGCGGGGCUCAGCCGUGCCUCGCGCUCGUCCCCAGCAAAGCCUCCCUUUCCUUCCCCACCCCUCCAAAUCAGUAGCAAUUCCCUGUCAUUCCGGGGGGUUCUACGGGGGCUGGAUGAACCGAAGAUGCAGCAAACUAUACCCUCCCCAGGUACUUCUGUCAGAGAAAGAUCAGCUUCCGGGGGAGAACCCCAGGAAAGAGAGGCUUCCUCCCCUUUCCUCCCCUCAACUCCUCUCUAUAGGGGUGGCUAAAGAAAUGGGACCUGAAACAUGACUUUUUUUUCCUAAAGGAGGAAGGAAAAUAGGGUGCGGGGCAAUGGUGUUAAUGAGUUUUCUUUAGAUACCCUCUGGCCUUUUAGCCAGAGGGAAAGUGACAAGUAUUAUAAACCUUUCCAAGACUUGGUUCAUAACUUUAUCUUUUGAUUGUUAUCAGUGACUACCUAAUUUGGUUGCAUUUAGAUUAUAGAGGGGAUCAAACUUGGAGAGUUUCUUCAAAGUUUAUAUAUUAAUUUGAGGUGGGAGGGAGACCUCGGAGACCUUAAGCUUUACAAACACCCAGAAUACUGAUUGAUUUUUCCUUAAUUUUUCAUCAGUGAAAGUGGAAAACAGUUGUCUGUUCAGCUGGGUUCUGUGGGACACAGAGCUGCUUUUUCCUUUGGUGAAAGUUUAGAGGAAUAGCUUUUUUUUUUUUUUUUUUUUUUUUUUUUUUUUUGAAUGAGGAAUGGGCCUUAGAGAUGAUCUUUUCCAGCCCAUUGAUUUUUCAGUGAGAAAACUGGUUCAGGAGAAGUUGCAACUUGCUGAAGGUCAAGCAACAAAUUAGUGGUAAAGCCUGAGACUAACCUGUCUUUCCAGCUAUAAGAUUGUAGAAUUUCAAGCUGGAGCCUUCAAGAUCAUUUAGCCAACCCCUUCAUUUUACAAAUCAGUAAACUGAGGCCUAGAGAAGUUAAAUGAUUGCUCAAAUCCUUUGAACAUAGUUUUUGUGUAGUGUACCUAUUUCCCCAUCAACAAAACAUCAGUUUUUCUGCCAAAUCUAAGGAUGUUGAAUGUGUAUUGAGGGAAGGGUGGUAAGGAUCAGACUUACUGUAUGUACAAUAACUGGGAAAUAUUUUCAUAAUUUUCCAAAACAGUUUCAUUUUUUUUUUACAUGUAAGAAAUUUUUUUCCUUUAGUGGAAGAGGGAAUCAAAAAAGAUAGGAAAUAAACAAUGUGCAUUUAUAUAAGCAAAUAGAAUAUAUACAAUGGGGAGAAAACUCUAGUCACCAUAGGAUAUAUUAAGCUGAUGGAUUACAGAUUUUUAGGCUUCUCACCAGAAAAUGGCACAGGGUAUUAGUACCAGAAACAUAUUUAGCUUAGUUAGCUCUCAUGUCUGAUAAAGUACCAAGCAAUAAACAAAACAUAAAGGGACGAAAUAUUUAAAUUUUGACUAACAAGGAAAUUCAGAAUAAAGAGUAAAAGUGAAGAUGUUAGAUUCUCAAAUGUGCCUAUAUUUUUCAUAGCAAGUUAGCUUAACAUUUUUCCUGUCAUUGGGUUGUAUGUGUUCAUGGGAAAGACUCACAUCUUUAUAAACUGACUUCGACCUUAUUAACCUUUGAACAAAAUAUAUUGGUAUAAUCAAUUUUUUAUAUUAUUGUUGGGUUUUUUUUUUUUUUUUUUUUGAUGUGUCUUCUCUCUAUAACGGCAUCGUUUUUGAAAAUAGCAGUGGUUGAAAAAUAAUCACACUUCAUCCAGGCUUCUAAUGAUGAGCUUCUUUGAACUUAACAAGAUAAGUUUUUGCCCCUGUAAGAGAUAUUAAGGCAUGCUUUGAAUGAAUGGAUUUGCCUCAUAAACAACUUAAUACUUCAGCAAAAGUAAAAUUCAUCAAUAAAAAAAUAAGACUUGA
Long non-coding RNA from Sarcophilus harrisii (Tasmanian devil), 1989 nucleotides. RefSeq lists it as uncharacterized. The transcript is spliced from 2 exons. The record is from RefSeq and is a predicted model, not a curated record. Lineage: Eukaryota; Metazoa; Chordata; Mammalia; Dasyuromorphia; Dasyuridae.